CUGUAGACACAGGCUACAGUUCAGGUUUCUUUCCUCAUAAGAGCCUUGUGUGCAAUUGCUCCAAGGCUGCUGCCUCUUGUUGGUAGAAUGUGCAACCUGUAUGUGUUGUCCUAAGGGACCAUGGAGACAGUG
This is a small nucleolar RNA of Grammomys surdaster, 132 nucleotides long. RefSeq annotates it as small nucleolar RNA SNORA70. NCBI's taxonomy places the organism in Eukaryota, Metazoa, Chordata, Mammalia, Rodentia, Muridae. The transcript has a single exon. The record is from RefSeq and is a predicted model, not a curated record.